UGUAUAACAGAACAUGAAACUAGUACUGCACAGUACAAUCAGCAAAAACUACAGUACGGUAUAAACAAGGUGUACCGUACAAAAACAGACACUGAUGCUCUAAAAACAAGAUGCGCGGAACUGUACACACCCCAAAAGAUGGGUUCUAAAUCCGCAGUCAUUAAACAGGCAGUUUGUUAAACAAGAAAUACCUGUAUUUGAAAUUAUUUCAACUUUGUGUUGAAAAAAGGUCACAGAUACAGAACUGGGGAGGAAUCCGGUAUGUUUUGGCAGGUACUGCCUUGAAGAAAGGAAAAACGGAGCUGCUCCACCAGGCAGAGGCCAUGUCAUCAGAAGCCCUCAGGGCCGCUCCCAGCAGCGCGUGAGAGGAGGGAUCUCUACCCAACACACGCCCUCGGUGCUCACAAGGAACACUUAAACUUGGGGUAGUUACUGGGAACAACAGAUUCAUGGUCUACUCGUACAUCUUUACGUCAAUCUGAUUUUCUUUUACAAGACAGGACAAAAUGAGUAAAUUUGAUCAAUACAUCUAAAAUGUAACUGUUUCACAACAGUUCUGCAGUUAAGAUAGACUGGAGAUCCAGUAUUUGUUUUGCUGACUAAUUUAUUUAAAGAAUGUAAGAUUGGUAAGCUGAAGCUUUCUGGAGGUGGCAGUGGAGUGGGGUGAGGCGGGAGGAGAAAGGAAAGGACAAGCUGGUUAAGAAAGAGCCAAGUGGAGUUAAAACAAGAGCAAAAAUCUAGUAGGAGAGGUCUGGUAGGAUCCCAGUCUACUAAUAAUUUACUGCAAUUUAGAAAGCCAUUAAAAUAGGUUUUGGCUUUCUAGAUCUGCAAAAUUAGAAUACUAUCUGUCUCCCUAAAAAGGGCAUUUUGAGCAAAAGAAAACUGAAAUAUACUCAGAUACAAUUAAAAGUUAUCAUAUAUUGUAUAAACUAUAAGUAGAAUUAUACCAGAAGUAACGGCGUAGGGUGCCAGUGUCUUCCCCUUCUCCCUACCUCUUAGGGGAAUGCGCAGGCGGGUGCUUUGAGUAAGGCAAGGGACUGACCAUGGACGUUGUCUGAGAUCUGUGCCACGAGCUCCUAAAUGACGCAGGAACUGUUUAGUGACAGCUUACAGCUCUCUAUUCUAGCCACGGGCGUCCGGCAAAAAACAAUACAAAAUGUCUCUUCAUGGAUUUUUACAUGCUAGCUACAAGUCACAAGGUGGACUAAGUAUUGUCACUAAUACUGAACCUGUAUGUCAACAUAUAAUGAUGAAACUCAUGCAUUUAGUGCUCAGGUAAAAUUUUUUUAAAAUUUAAUAUGUUACUUUCAGGUAUUCUGACGAAAAUAAUUUCUAACCUUAUAGUUUCUGUGCUUUUUCGAAUUUUAAGGUUGGAAUUUCGGAACUGCAAAGACGAAUUCGUGUUCAAGUGGAUACACGAUAUUCUGCUUUGAGUAAACAAUGCUAUCUAUUUCCAGCUGUCCCUACUUUUCGCUAACACGUUAACUGACAAAUUUGUUAUUCGGCUCCUUCCCUUUCUUACAGUUUAAUAAACUGAGUGAGACGGAGACAGUGGGAAGUGGGGAUGACGGAAAAUGGCAGGCGGGGGAAGAAGAUGAGCAGCUCUGUGUUACAGUCUAUGUUUUCAGUACGCUACUUCAAUGUUAGAUUUAACAAAAUACCUACUAGUUUGGACUAAAUCUAGAACUAAGGACCGAACUCUAACUACACUUUAUGGUACGCAGUACAGCUGUCGUUUAGGGACUGGGAAAGGAGAGACGGUUUAAGGCCAGAUAAAGGUGAGAACAUUAUCAGCACCCAAGCUUACCUCCACUGGUGUGGGCAGGGGACCCACAGCAGCUCUCUGAGCUUUGUCUCUUACCGUUUUCAGAACUGGCGGUUGGAAACACGAGGGCUGCUCUUUAGUAAGUAACCACGUAGAGCAGAGCAGAGAGGCGGGGACCCGGUUAGCACAGGACUGGUGGGCAGCACCAUGUGUGGUGCCGCCCAGCUGGGCAUCCCUCGAUUCUCUACUGACGUCCCUGGCUGAGAAACUUUACUCCAGUACUAAAGGAAACACAAGCUUAUGCUCAGAUCACUUCAGCAAAACUGCCUUUGUCUUCUCACCUGACUUACGAGGCCUGUCAGCUUCACAGCUUCCCUAGAGAAUGUGGGUUCCACACUACAAGAGCGCACGACACUACUCUACCUGUACAGCAUCACUUCUCCGAGGGGAAGGCCAGCCAAGAAGUAUUAGGAACUGAUCACAGGUUUAUCCUAAACGGCAACACAAUUACAGCUAUUUUACUAAGAACAGAGUUGAUCUGGAGACCUGGGCACCAGCACCUCGAAGAGGUAAGAGAGUAUUGGAGCAGGUACGGCUCAGCCAACGAGUGCUUCCACAGCGUCACGCAUUUCCAGCCCUCUCUCUCACCAAGCGGGAGUGCACCAGGGCUGAUUCAGCAGGAAUUAUUUCAGAACGCCUUUGCUCUUCUUGCUACGUCACAUCCUAGUCACUGCCUGAGUCUCACGGGGAGUUACUGCUGCAACAGGAGGUGAGCGUGUUUCUUCCUGGCACUGAAGAUGCUGUCAGUGGGAGAGAGUGAGGUAAUGCUGCCACUGUAGCAGAAUGGCGACGCAGAUCACUAAACUUCCCCGGUUUACGCAUCAAUAAAAUCAGUCUGACAGCCUGACACGCAUACACUCCAGGGUGUUACAACGAUCCAGUGAAAUGUGCAGAGGAACGCUACGAGCCCCAAGUAUGCCACUCACAGAGGAAACACUGCUGAAGUCCUGUGGGGCGUGUGUGUGUGUGUGUGUAAAAGGCCGCACACUGUUCGUCGGCACAUGCCCUUGUGUGCUCUGAGCUGAAAGGGCUGGCUGCUUCCAGGCUCAGGCGCUGCAGCACCAGCAGUGCCCACGUGCACCAGAACCCGGUGCGGAGACCUCAGCCCCCUUCUGCUCUCUCCCCUCUGCUUCCUGAACCUGACGACAGGCCCUCCUUCUCCUGGACCACACACUAAAAUAAAAUCAAAGGAUAUAAAUGCUCACUACUAAAAAAGAAAACCAUGGGGAACUUUACCUAAAAAUGCAGCCAUAUCAAACAAUUACAAUUUUAGACCAUAUUCCAGAACAUGUAUGUAACAACACACCCGGCGACAAAGGAGAGUCAUCAAAACGUUUUAUACCUCUGCCUCCAUUUUGCUACUGAGUGACUGAAACUGGAAAAGCGACCCAGGCUGUGUAAGCACCGAUUCUGUAUUUCUACACAAAGAAUUGAUUAGUGAACUGCAUUUUAUGUAUUUCAUUUACAGUACUGACAAAGAUACAGGGUAAGCUUCCCCAACCGGAAAUUCUACACUUCUCCAAAUCUGAACACUUAGCUUUGAUAGGACACAAAUGGAUACCUGACCUCAUCUGACCAGCUGUAGCCAAAACUCAGAUGCACCAAAAACCCAGCAUGAAAUUAUGUGUCCACAGGGCAAUGAAACACACCUGAACUCUGUGCUAAGACUUCAGCCUUACCCCCAGACUAUCUUAGCAUCCUGAAGAAAUCCACACCCCCAAGUUCAUCUGGUCACAAGCACUUCAGACAAGGGAUACUCAAACUGCACAGUACAGUGGCUCAAGCUGCUGGACGGGACAGGCGUGCAUGUGUCACCAGUGGCUCAAGCCGGCAGAAGUACGUUCACCUCAGGAGACACACGGGCUCUCACCAACCGGAACACAGGCCAGUAGCUCCGUUCUGCAGGAGCGGGUCUCCAUCACUCGCAGACUAGUGCCAACUACUGUGCAUACUUCAAAUCAAUGUAUCAGGAAAACAAACCAUCAACAACAACAAUAAAUGAAGUAUCCACAAAAACAAAACCUGUGCUACACCAAAUUUCAAGGACAGGCCACCUUCCGCCCACGGGAACAGAGCGGCAGCAGAGUCCAAGCUCUGAGAGUGACGAGAGGGUGAAUGAGACUAGAAGGGAGAAGGUGCUCGCAGGGUGGGCAACAGGAAGCGCUCAGAGGACACACUCAGCACACCGUCAGCUACGAAGGGCAGGAGCACAGAUCCAGACAGCGGGCACACUGGAGUGGCACGCUGAAAUGGCCAGCCUGUGCACGUAAGUAAGGCUCCGGCAGCAGAAAGACUAGGACAAGGCUUACUGUGGUUGGAAACAAUUAGGAAAAUGAGGAAACAGAAUCAAAGGGAGCGACAUAGGAGCCAACACACUCUCCAACAUGUACACCACAGAUUUUAUGGUUACAGUAAGUACAGAAAUGUAUCAGGAAUGUGUAGAAGAGUAUCAGAAGACUAAUACAAAAUGAGAUUUUAAAAAAGGGAGAAAAUAACUUUUGGCUUCACAACAAGGCUAAGAAGAAAAAUCACUUUCUACUAGACUGUUCUAGCACCAACCAUCAAGGAUGCCACGAUUUUAUGAAAUUCAAGUCAUAAAAAUAUCCU
This is a long non-coding RNA of Chinchilla lanigera (long-tailed chinchilla), 4432 nucleotides long. RefSeq lists it as uncharacterized. The transcript has 5 exons. Lineage: Eukaryota; Metazoa; Chordata; Mammalia; Rodentia; Chinchillidae. The record is from RefSeq and is a predicted model, not a curated record.